AGUUACUCCGGUACUUGUUCUUCCCUAACAACAGAACUUUACGACCCGAAAGCCUUCAUCGUUCACGCGGCGUUGCUCCGUCAGACUUUCGUCCAUUGCGGAAGAUUCCCUACUGCUGCCUCCCGUAGGAGUCUGGGCCGUGUCUCAGUCCCAGUGUGGCCGAUCACCCUCUCAGGUCGGCUACGCAUCGUCGCCUUGGUGAGCCGUUACCUCACCAACUAGCUAAUGCGCGGG
This 234-nucleotide ribosomal RNA is filed under the name Bacillus sp. KUR61. RNAcentral's name for it is "partial 16S ribosomal RNA". Lineage: Bacteria; Bacillati; Bacillota; Bacilli; Caryophanales; Bacillaceae. The record is from RNAcentral.